RNAcentral lists this ribosomal RNA (497 nucleotides) under uncultured bacterium. Its description in RNAcentral is "partial 16S ribosomal RNA". It matches the Rfam family "Bacterial small subunit ribosomal RNA", at positions 28 to 507 of the family's 1533-position model. The record is from RNAcentral.
GAUGAACGCUGGCGGCGUGCCUAAUACAUGCAAGUCGAGCGAACGGACGAGAAGCUUGCUUCUCUGAUGUUAGCGGCGGACGGGUGAGUAACACGUGGAUAACCUACCUAUAAGACUGGGAUAACUUCGGGAAACCGUAGCUAAUACCGGAUAAUAUUUUGAACCGCAUGGUUCAAAAGUGAAAGACGGUCUUGCUGUCACUUAUAGAUGGAUCCGCGCUGCAUUAGCUAGUUGGUAAGGUAACGGCUUACCAAGGCAACGAUGCAUAGCCGACCUGAGAGCGUGAUCGGCCACACUGGAACUGAGACACGGUACAGACUCCUACGGGAGGCAGCAGUAGGGAAUCUUCCGCAAUGGGCGAAAGCCUGACGGAGCAACGCCGCGUGAGUGAUGAAGGUCUUCGGAUCGUAAAACUCUGUUAUUAGGGAAGAACAUAUGUGUAAGUAACUGUGCACAUCUUGACGGUACCUAAUCAGAAAGCCACGGCUAACUACGUG